UUAGUUGCUUAUUUCAAUGUGCAUAUUUACUGGAGCCUUUGGAAGCGGGGUAAUCUUGGUAGGUGCCUCAGCCAUCCUGGACUCACCUCUGUCUCCUCCAGAGACUGCGGGCACUCAUCCAGACAUGGACUGUUUUCAAGGACAUCUCUUCCUGCAGGGAAGGACGCAACAUCAUCCUGUGGUUCAGAGAGACAAGGAAGAAACAACAGUCUCUUGUUUUCCUUCAGAACCUACGUGAAUAGCAAUACAAUCACUUCUAAAGCUAGUUCCCUCUCCAAAUCGGAUUCUAUAGCUCUUCACCAAAGAGAACAUAUGGAACUGCUCAGAGCUAAAAAAUUAGCCAAGUCGCUGGCUAUUCUCUUGGGUGUUUUUGCCAUUUGCUGGGCUCCAUAUUCUCUGUCCACAGUUGUUCUUUCAAUUUACAAACCAGAGCAGCGUUUGAAAUCGGAUUGGUACAGAAUUGCAUUUUGGCUGCAGUGGUUCAACUCCUUUGUCAAUCCCUUUUUGUAUCCAUUGUGUCACAGGCGUUUUCAGAAGGCUUUCUUAAAAAUAUUUUGUAUGAAAAAGCAACGAAUACCAUCACACAAUCGGUCAACAUCCUCUUGAUGAUAAUGUUCUCACUUCUGUAAAUUUUAGUCUUCAUCUCACCAAGGUGAAUUUCAUCUGGUUUUCAUCUUGCCCAUUCCACUCUACCCGCCCCCCCAAAAAAGUCCAUAAAACCACAACAAUUGAAAACUUAAAAAAAAAAAAAAUCUGCACUUGGACGCCAAUGGAACAUUAUCCCAGUAAAUAACAGUCUAAUGAUGAAUUGAUAACAUAUUUUUGUAAACUCAUAGCCACAAAAUACUAUUU
Molecule: long non-coding RNA, 852 nt
Filed under: Marmota monax (woodchuck)
Lineage: Eukaryota; Metazoa; Chordata; Mammalia; Rodentia; Sciuridae
Source: RNAcentral